Molecule: transfer RNA, 59 nt
Filed under: Dipodomys ordii (Ord's kangaroo rat)
Lineage: Eukaryota; Metazoa; Chordata; Mammalia; Rodentia; Heteromyidae
Rfam family: tRNA
About the family: Transfer RNA (tRNA) molecules are approximately 80 nucleotides in length.
Source: Rfam by way of RNAcentral
AUAGCUCAGGGGUACAGCAUUUGCCUAGAACGCAUGAGGUCCUGGGUUUGAUCCCCAGU